GCGCCCGUAGCUCAGUUGGAUAGAGCAUCCGCCUUCUAAGCGGACGGUCACAGGUUCGAAUCCUGUCGGGCGCGCCA
This 77-nucleotide transfer RNA is filed under the name Verrucomicrobiota bacterium. Its description in RNAcentral is "Verrucomicrobia bacterium (freshwater metagenome) tRNA-Arg". It matches the Rfam family "tRNA". Rfam says of the family: Transfer RNA (tRNA) molecules are approximately 80 nucleotides in length. The record is from RNAcentral. Lineage: Bacteria; Pseudomonadati; Verrucomicrobiota.